UACGUAGGGUGCAAGCGUUAAUCGGAAUUACUGGGCGUAAAGCGUGCGUAGGUGGUUUGUUAAGUCUGAUGUGAAAGCCCUGGGCUCAACCUGGGAACGGCAUUGGAAACUGGCUUACUAGAGUGCGGUAGAGGGGUGUGGAAUUCCCGGUGUAGCAGUGAAAUGCGUAGAUAUCGGGAGGAACAUCUGUGGCGAAGGCGACACCCUGGACCAGCACUGACACUGAGGCACGAAAGCGUGGGGAGCAAACAGG
RNAcentral lists this ribosomal RNA (253 nucleotides) under uncultured bacterium. Its description in RNAcentral is "partial 16S ribosomal RNA". It matches the Rfam family "Bacterial small subunit ribosomal RNA", at positions 524 to 776 of the family's 1533-position model. The record is from RNAcentral.